CCAAUGCAAAGUUCAUAUUUAUCCAGCACUUUUGGAAUAGCUCUCAUCUGACUGACCUGAGGCAGGUCUUGCCUGUCGUGUAUCCGUGCCACCCUCUCCUUGGGCUUUGCCCAUCCCUGCUUGCUCCUUCCCACUCUUUGCUUAAAAACCUUCACACACAUUUGGGGAGACCAUGGGUCUCAUACUCUGUUUUUACUAGCGCAUCUGCCAAGCUCAUACCUUGCAUUGUGUCAGAUUUCUGCAUCUAACCUUGCCUCAGCUUUCUACAACCGAAGCAACAGCAGGCUAGGAUUUGAGGGGAAAGGGACUCCCAUAUAACAGCCCCUUGCUGGCUACGUACAAAGGGAUGUGGUUUACUUUGUGACUCCCUUGGAAAUGCUUCAAAGGGUCCUGGAGAAGUGCCUGGCUCGGAAGUGGACCUCCAAGGACUACAGAGACUUUGACCACAGCCUGAGUCAGGAUGCAGAUGAGUAUCCUGUGUGGAGGAGAUGGGGGUUUCUGUGGGGCGCACGUGAGCCCUCCCUGUGGGGAGGAGGAGGAGGAAGAGGAGGAGGAAGAGGAGGAGGAGGAGGCGGCUCCCAGAUGUGAGCUCCCUCUCAGAGCAAAGUGCUCCUGCAGAGCCCCACAGUCCAGCGCGCGAGCAGGUGGGCAUUGCCCCAGGUCUGGGGCUCCACAGGCUGCUGCUCCUGAACAGCGCUUGUCGCUUGGAGGAACGAGGGCUAACAGAAACCCCAGGAGCACGCAGCAGCGCCGUUGGUUUAACAACCUCUUGGCAGGCAGUGCUGCGGCCGAAACCCCCCUCUCCGUCUUUUUUCGGCUCAUUUCCAACUAGAGCAGCUGGGAGACAAGGUGAUAACGGGGAUCAGUGUCUACCAGGUACCUGUAACGAAGGCUCCAGCACGCUUCCUCGCUUGAGGCAAACUCUGUUUCGUGCACAGGCCACAUAAUCUGUGUGCAGAGCAGCUGUGAGAAUCACGUUUGCAAGUAAGGUCAGACUCCUCCUGCAUAAUGGGAUCAAAAAAACAAGGAACUUGCUUAGUUUGCUCAUCGCCUCACUGCAAUCAUUUUGUUAACUACAAGGAAGUAAGCUGACACUGCUUCAUUUAAUCCUGUUUAUUUGGCAAGGACAUGGUUUAGUCAACUUCUCACUGACACUAUUUGAUUUUUGGUCUCAUUCCCAAAAACUUAAAUUAAACAACUUGUUCUUUUAUGCACAGGAAACCUUUCCGUCUCAUGCUGGCUUAGCAUAUUCUCAUUCAAUGAGGCAUUUAUAGCUCCUAUCAAAAUGUAGACACAGGCCACCAAGUAGGCAUCUUGUAAAUCUGUAUUAGUCCAACGUUCUUCAAGCUACCUCAACCACUAAGUAGCUGAAAAAUACCACCCCAAAGGCAUGUGGGAUAGAAUUUUACCUUUCUCCAGAGAAUUACCCAGUGCAACGUGAUGACAGUUCUUCCCCAAAGCUCAGAGAAAUACUAUUCUCCAGUUAAAAUUUGCAUCCAUUCCUCUUCCACCAUCAUUCAUGCACUCACCUCCAUGGUACACAGACUUUAAUUCACAAGUGUGUUCCUGAAAAUACAACAAACACAAUACAACAAAACUGGCAUUUCUCUGUGCACUCACUUUGUAUAUGGAAGGAAGUGUGCAAAGUGCAAAUCAUUUCAAACUGCUUUUUGAAACAUUUCCCUGGAGAAAAUUCUGAUUAACUAUCGGCCGCUUUGCUGACGGACUGACAUUCUCGGAGCGCUGCUCACGGACCCCAAAAGCUGGCACGAUCGGCCCUGCGGCCGAAGGAGGGAGGCCGGCUCUGCCAGCCCCAGCUGCUCCUUGCUCCC
Apteryx owenii (little spotted kiwi) is the source of this 1832-nucleotide long non-coding RNA. Lineage: Eukaryota; Metazoa; Chordata; Aves; Apterygiformes; Apterygidae. The record is from Ensembl.